CCUACGGGAGGCAGCAGUGAGGAAUAUUGGUCAAUGGGCUUACGCCUGAACCAGCCAAGUCGCGUGAGGGAAGACUGCCCUAUGGGUUGUAAACCUCUUUUGUCAGGGAGCAACGCCGGCUACGUGUAGCCGGACUGAGAGUACCUGAAGAAAAAGCAUCGGCUAACUCCGGGCCAGCAGUCGCGGUAAUACGGAGGAUGCGAGCGUUAUCCGGAUUUAUUGGGUUUAAAGGGUGCGUAGGCGGAAUGCCAAGUCAGCGGGAAAAUCGCGGGGCUCAACCUCGCUCCGCCGUUGAAACUGGCGUUCUUGAGUGGGCGAGAAGUAUGCGGAAUGCGUGGUGUAGCGGUGAAAUGCAUAGAUAUCACGCAGAACUCCGAUUGCGAAGGCAGCAUACCGGCGCCCAACUGACGCUGAAGCACGAAAGCGUGGGUAUCGAACAGGAUUAGAUACCCGAGUAGUC
RNAcentral lists this ribosomal RNA (460 nucleotides) under uncultured bacterium. RNAcentral's name for it is "partial 16S ribosomal RNA". It matches the Rfam family "Bacterial small subunit ribosomal RNA", at positions 338 to 795 of the family's 1533-position model. The record is from RNAcentral.